Triplophysa rosa is the source of this 1095-nucleotide long non-coding RNA. RefSeq lists it as uncharacterized. NCBI's taxonomy places the organism in Eukaryota, Metazoa, Chordata, Actinopteri, Cypriniformes, Nemacheilidae. The record is from RefSeq and is a predicted model, not a curated record. The transcript has 2 exons.
UAUUCUGAGACUGGUGGCCACUCUGUUGGUGCUGCAGCUGAUUCGAGUGAAGAAGUUAGCAGAGGGAGAGCUGCUUCAGUCUCUCUUCAGUCUGAAAGAGUCACAGGGCCCGAGGCCGGUGCACUGGAAGUCUGUGAAGAAAGCAGUGGACUGGGCUUGUUGGGCAGACAGACAGUAUCCAUGUGUGUGCAGCAGGCUGGAGUUUGGCUGGGAUUGGGAAUCAUCCACACGUCAGUUACUGGGGUGUGAAUCACCCUUCCCGUACUCUCCACUUAUACCUGUUCUAGAGAGAUGUGUGGGUUUAUGGGUGGUUUAGUAACUGAACACAUACAUUAUUUCAUUCAUUUGUUGUUUCAAAAGUUUGCAAUGUGUAGAAGAUUGUCUGUGAUUCCUCAGAGCCUUAAACAAUAUUUUAAAGAAUAGUUUACUCCAGAAUUUUAAUUGCAUUUUUUAUUUACCCUAUGUCAUUUUAUUUCACUGUUUGCUAGAAAUAUUUUCCUAUGCCGUUUCCACUGCAGUUUCAUUUGUGCUUGUAGAUCUGGUGUAGUGUUUGUAUGACUGGGUUAUUCCAAACUCUAUUGAUUUUAGCAAAUUAUUGUGUUCUUGGACAUGUAAAUACACCACAAAGAGUAGAUAAAGCGAUACAUUAGUAGCCAGAUGGUUUCUCAGACAGGGUAUAAAAUAAUCCAGCAGGCAUAGCCCUUAAUCUUUAUAGUUAACCUUGUCUUCAAAAUGGCUUUUUGGAACGCCGAUUUAAGUAGGCUACUGAUUACUAGGACCUGGAUUAUGGAGACCAGGGCCCGUAUGUAUUAAGGCACUCAGAGUAAAAAAGUGUCAAAAUUCUACGAAUGACGCAAUUUUACUAUUAAUUUACUAUCAUUACUAAAGGUUCAUAAGUGUUAAAACUAGAUCUCAGCUCCUGAAUUAUACGAGGGAGUUGAAGAGGUCUCCUAACCUAGUUAAGAGUAACAAGAUGGCAGUACAGAGGCAGAGACCAUGGACUUUACAAUAAAGAAACAAUGUGUUGGAAUGAUAUGAUGACAGGGAGUUAAUGACAUAAUGUAAUAUAAAAAAAAUAAAGAAAAAUGUUAAGGA